RNAcentral lists this ribosomal RNA (497 nucleotides) under uncultured bacterium. Its description in RNAcentral is "partial 16S ribosomal RNA". It matches the Rfam family "Bacterial small subunit ribosomal RNA", at positions 28 to 507 of the family's 1533-position model. The record is from RNAcentral.
GAUGAACGCUGGCGGCGUGCCUAAUACAUGCAAGUCGAGCGAACAGACGAGGAGCUUGCUCCUCUGACGUUAGCGGCGGACGGGUGAGUAACACGUGGAUAACCUACCUAUAAGACUGGGAUAACUUCGGGAAACCGGAGCUAAUACCGGAUAAUAUAUUGAACCGCAUGGUUCAAUAGUGAAAGACGGUUUUGCUGUCACUUAUAGAUGGAUCCGCGCCGCAUUAGCUAGUUGGUAAGGUAACGGCUUACCAAGGCAACGAUGCGUAGCCGACCUGAGAGGGUGAUCGGCCACACUGGAACUGGGACACGGUCCAGACUCCUACGGGAGGCAGCAGUAGGGAAUCUUCCGCAAUGGGCGGAAGCCUGACGGAGCAACGCCGCGUGGGUGAUGAAGGUCUUCGGAUCGUAAAACUCUGUUAUUAGGGAAGAACAAAUGUGUAAGUAACUAUGCACGUCUUGACGGUACCUAAUCAGAAAGCCACGGCUAACUACGUG